UUUGCUGCAAAUCCAGUGAAGUUCUGUUUCCCAGCUACCAACUGUUCUGGAAUGCCCCAGCCAGCAACAGAUUCUGGACCACAGUCUGUUAGUAAUUGGGCACUCAAAGAAUAGGUGAUUAAAUUCUUCAACAUUUUGAUUGCAAAACACACAAGUUUCUGGGACUUGUAUGCCAAUGUUCUGCAGUCUGUCAACUGUAGACAGUCUAUGCUGAGCAGCUAGCCAUACAGUGAACUUAUGUCGAGGUUGGAUGUGGGACUUGUAUGCCAAUGUUCUGCUGUCUGUCAACUGUAGGCAGUCUAUGCUGAUCAGCUAGCCAUACAGUGAACUUAUGUCGAGGUUGGAUAUUAGUGAUCAACAUCAAGUUCUUCCAUUCAACCCUAUUGAAACUGAGGAUCAUUGUGAGGUAUAGUUUCUGAAUAUG
RNAcentral lists this long non-coding RNA (424 nucleotides) under Nicotiana benthamiana. Its description in RNAcentral is "long non-coding RNA (NBEN_LNC009797)". The record is from RNAcentral. Lineage: Eukaryota; Viridiplantae; Streptophyta; Magnoliopsida; Solanales; Solanaceae.